ACKGCUCAGUUAACACGUGGUUAACCUACCCUUGAGACGGAGACAUCCCCGGAAACUGGGGUUAAUCCCCGAUAGAUGAAAACUCCUGGAAUGGGUUUUCGUCCAAAAGGCAUCACAGUCCAUGCUUCUUGAUGUCGCUCAAGGAUGGGGCCGCGACCGAUCAGGCUGUUGGUGAGGUAAUGGCUCACCAAACCUAUAACCGGUACGGGCCGUGGGAGCGGGAGCCCGGAGAUGGGAACUGAGACAAGGUCCCAGGCCCUACGGGGCGCAGCAGUUGCGAAAACUCCGCAAUGCACGAAAGUGUGACGGGGCUACCCCGAGUGCUGUCCGCUGAGGAUGGCUUUUCCCCGGUUUAAGGAGCCGGGGGAAUAAGGAGAGGGCAAGUCUGGUGUCAGCCGCCGCGGUAAUACCAGCUCUCCGAGUGGUAGGGAUGCUUAUUGGGCUUAAAGCGUCCGUAGCUGGCUUUCCAAGUCUCUCGUUAAAUCCAACGAUUCAAUCGUUGGACUGCGGGAGAUACUGUUGGGCUGGGGGGCGGGAGAAGCCGACGGUAUUUCCGGUGUAGGGGUAAAAUCCUAUAAUCCCGGGAGGACCACCAGUGGCGUAGGCGGUCGGCUAGCACGCGCUCGACGGUGAGGGACGAAAGCUGGGGGAGCAAACCGGAUUAGAUACCCGGAUAGUCCCAGCUGUAAACGAUGCGGGCUAGGUGUUGGAGCGGCCACGAGCCGCUUCAGUGCCGCAGGAAAACCAUUAAGCCCGCCGCCUGGGGAGUACGGCCGCAAGGCUGAAACUUAAAGGAAUUGGCGGGGGAGCAC
This 812-nucleotide ribosomal RNA is filed under the name uncultured Sulfolobales archaeon. Its description in RNAcentral is "bacterial SSU rRNA". It matches the Rfam family "Archaeal small subunit ribosomal RNA", at positions 85 to 879 of the family's 1478-position model. The record is from RNAcentral. Lineage: Archaea; Thermoproteati; Thermoproteota; Thermoprotei; Sulfolobales.